RNAcentral lists this long non-coding RNA (251 nucleotides) under Elaeis guineensis (African oil palm). RNAcentral describes it as "long non-coding RNA (EGUI_LNC010963)". Lineage: Eukaryota; Viridiplantae; Streptophyta; Magnoliopsida; Arecales; Arecaceae. The record is from RNAcentral.
ACCAUAAGCUAGUAGUUUGGCCGUUAGGUUUGAAUUGUAGUCGAACAUAAAUUCUAUGAACUCUUGAACAAAUAUGGCGUUAUGUUUUCAUGGCAUUCUGCUAUGCUGCUGUGUAUGGUUUGUCUUUGAAGUAGGAGUGAAGUCCUCUAAUAAAACAGGAUAUUCAAUGCUUUCUUGAUUUAAAUUCUUUAAUAAAACAAGGAAUUCAAUACAUGGAUGGUCUUCAUCAAUGUUGUAGUCGAAAGGGGGAU